GACGAACGCUGGCGGCGUGCUUAACACAUGCAAGUCGAACGAUGAAGCCGGAGCUUGCUCUGGUGAAUUAGUGGCGAACGGGUGAGUAACACGUGAGUAACCUGCCCUUGACUCUGGGAUAACUGCUAGAAAUGGUAGCUAAUACCGGAUACGACCCUCGGAGGCAUCUUCAGGGGGUGGAAAGAAUUUCGGUCAAGGAUGGACUCGCGGCCUAUCAGCUAGUUGGUGAGGUAACGGCUCACCAAGGCGACGACGGGUAGCCGGCCUGAGGGGGUGACCGGCCACACUGGGACUGAGACACGGCCCAGACUCCUACGGGAGGCAGCAGUGGGGAAUAUUGCACAAUGGGCGCAAGCCUGAUGCAGCAACGCCGCGUGAGGGAUGACGGCCUUCGGGUUGUAAACCUCUUUUAGUAGGGAAGAAGCGAAAGUGACGGUACCUGCAGAAAAAGCACCGGCUAACUACGUGCCAGCCGCCGCCGUAA
Molecule: ribosomal RNA, 484 nt
Filed under: uncultured bacterium
Lineage: Bacteria
Description: partial 16S ribosomal RNA
Rfam family: Bacterial small subunit ribosomal RNA
Source: RNAcentral